RNAcentral lists this ribosomal RNA (53 nucleotides) under uncultured fungus. RNAcentral's name for it is "partial 5.8S ribosomal RNA". The record is from RNAcentral. Lineage: Eukaryota; Fungi.
ACGCACCUUGCGCUCCCUGGUAUUCCGGGGAGCACGCCUGUUCGAGUGUCGUG